Long non-coding RNA from Grus americana (Whooping crane), 8191 nucleotides. RefSeq lists it as uncharacterized. Lineage: Eukaryota; Metazoa; Chordata; Aves; Gruiformes; Gruidae. The transcript has 3 exons. The record is from RefSeq and is a predicted model, not a curated record.
UCCGCCAGCCCCCCUCUCCCCCCGCCGGGGUGUGCGUGUGUGCAUCCCUCCUGGCAGCCUGACCCCCAGCCCGGGCUGACCCCCGGGAGCGGGGGGGGGGGGCGAGGAGGAUAAGCUGGGGGGGGGUGGGGGGGGUGGGGGACGCGGGCACUUCUGCAGGCGCAGCCCUUUCGCAUCAAGGUGUGCUGCAAUCCGGGCGGGCAAGGUUGCUUCUCCUUAACUCCUGCCUCGCCGGCCGCCGGCAGCGCUCCCCGGAGCCCCGCUCCCCCCGCUCAGGCUCCGCCGCUCAGCCCCCGCUGUACCGCGCUGCCUCCCGCCUUCCUCCCCCCCACCCACCAAGCCGCGAUGCAGCAGCGGGGAUGGAGUUGUAGUGGUGCUGGGUGGAGGGGGUGAGAGAUUGGCUAUAAGGAGAAGGCUGACGGCUGCAGCAUGAAGCGCAUUAUUACCUUGUGAUUCCAUGACCCUCCUCUAUGCAUCCCUAACUCUCGAAAGCUGAUUCAGCUUUCAGCUAGUGCUCUGGUGAGUCCUCUGCUGCAACAGAAGCUCCUAACUGAUGGCAUUGACAUGUAGCCUGAAGGGGCUACCGGGACACAAAGCUAAAGAUGGUUAAAGACAUUAAAAACUGUACAAUGAUGUGAGCACCGUCUACACCACGACCGUCAUCUAGGAGGAAGAUUCAUCCUGACGUAUUGGGCAGAAGACAGACUUUCUACUGGUGUUAUGUAUAGCUGUUGAGCCAACGGUAUUUUUGAGAUAGACAAAAAAUAUAUAUAAUCCCGCUACUAACCAUGCCUUUUCUAGUGGGUCUUUAUUGACUCUUGAAAAACUAUGACCAAUAAAUGUAAUGAUCUGCUUUCCCCUUUCUUUCUGGGUGAAGGAUAGCUCCUGCAGUGUGUUUAUCACUGAGUGCAAUGACUGGCUUGAGCCGUUCAAGUCUGACUCCACUUCCCAGCAAGCUAUUGAACGCAACGUUGCAGGGCCACCAGCGUUUCCCAGAUCCUGCCAGGGCUUCUGUUAAUAAUAAAUAUUGCACUCAGAAUAAGAUUGUAAGUCUUCCCAUAGGAUGGAGGGAAUUUGCAUUUCUGCAUUCCCUGAGUUUGGUGUUGUGUAAGUUGCUGUAAUUUACUUGCACAGAGAAUGGGCUUAAUACUUGUGUAUUUUUUUAAUAAGCUGCACAGAUCUUUCGUACAGUGGGUGCAGCUGGAGAGAUAGAGAACUGCCAAAGAGAGGGCUUCACCUGCAGGAAAACAUCCUCUACUUCCUCCAAAAGUGAUGAAAAUGUCAAUGCUAUUGACACAAUCCCUAAUUAAAAAUGACUGCCAUAAUCAUGCAUAUGAUAGCCGUAGGACGUUAGUUUGGAUUAAACAUAAACAGCGAGAUGUGCUGCACGUGUUUUCCAAAGGAAUAAAGGGCUGGAUGAUGGUAUCUUCUGUACAUCCAAGCAAGAACAGAAGGAUGUCUCAGCUCCUACGCACGGGCUGCUCCUCUGCUGCCCAGCCCCGGUGAGCUGUGCAACGGCGACUGCCUGUGCAGACUGAGCUAUUUGCAACCGCGAGAUAAAACGUGUCUGCGUGUACUUCUUUGGCUGAGGUUUAAGCAAACGUCCUUUACUUUGUGUUUGACGUGGACAGACAGCACGCGCAUGGCUGGUCGUAGCAGCUUGGCGGGUUCAUGCAUUACCUCAGUUACUGCGGCAGUGCUGAGCUGUAGUAACACCCCAGCCUGGGGUGUGGAUAAGUUCUUCUUUUUCUCCCUAGGAAUAAAAUCCUUCAUUUGGGGGUAUUCAGCAAAUGGAAUUACAACAGAAAAUAGCUUGUCAAUGCCCCAUGCAAAUUAUUUUCUUAUGCAAUUGGUCAGACUCUCUAUUUUAAUGUUCAUCUGCUCUUACCUUAUGGUUGUGAUGUUAAAGUAUGCCCAGGCAUCUCAGCGGGCUAUAGAUAGCUGUCUUUUAUUGUACAACACCAAAAAUAAACACUGGGAUGUUCCAUGUAGUCCCAGGGCUGCAAGGUAGGAUUGUACCACAGAGCUGGGGCUGAGCACAGAAGCACCACCUGAGCUGCUGUGCCUACGGGUGGGCUACAGCGAGCUGAGUAACUGCGUGGUGGAGGCAGAGCAUGGCCAGUCUUUCUCGUGAAGAUACAAGAGACUGAACGCCAAGGACUUCUUUUCCACUUCCAUGUGGAACAGGUAUUUCACAUCACUUAGCACCUCCCUCCGAUAACAUUUGCCUCUAGCUCUUUCUGCCCUCCACCUCUGAUGAAUUGUUUUGUGCUGUGCAUGACAGAUAGCUUCUGCUUUCUCCUUUUACCGCUAUAGGGGGGAAAAAAGAGUAAGAGAGAGAGAGAGAGACUUGAAACUGUUUCCCAAAUAUGCAAGUGUUCAGCCGUGAGCCGAUAUCCUGCCAGGGGUAAGAGGUGGCCCUGUGCUGCACUAGCUCAGGAAUAAAUAAUGAAUUAUCCUGCAGUCCCUCCUUGGCAUUGUGGAGGGAAUUAAUUUCUAUUCCCCUUCCGUAAGGCAGCUCAUUCUCCUGCUCCUGGGCUGCUCUUCCCCCAGCCUCUGCCACCCUCUUGCUGAGGGGGACACUUGGUGGCUGGACAAUUUACUGUGGGACAAUUAGCUGAUACUGGCUGCUCCUGCCCAUGACACUGGAUGGAAACGUGGUUGUAUUUCUCUAAACACCCACUCUAAAGAUGACAGCCUUGCUUUCAAUCUCUUUAGUGAUGAAACACAGCAAUGAAAUACAAGUGGACUUUUGUCUAAUACUGUGGCAGCAUUAUUCCCAGAUGGACAGUAAUCAUAGCCAGUUUGCCACAUCUACCUCGCAAGAGAGUUUGAGGGGUUUACAUAAAUAAAAGCUGGGAGGGGUGGGGAUGGGGGGUGUGACAUGUUGGUUGUUAAGUAUUAUGUAAAAUAAGUUAAGUAUUAUCUAAAAGUGGAUCACCUGGAAAGUAAAGGCAUAAUCCAUCUUUCCAUGGUGAGGAGCAUGGCCCAAUUGAGCCAAAAAAGCCUGGGAAGGACAAAACCUGGGACAACCCUUUGAGCUGGGACAUCUGUCAGUCACAGAAAGAAGCAGGAAAAGAAAAAAAAUAAAUAACUGCACCAUUUGUGCCAUAGGGCAAUGUUCAAUAGCCAGCACUUCCCAAGUCUAAUGAUCCUGACCCCAAAACUACCAUUGUAGAGGCUUAAGAGUUGUACCCUUCUUCAUUUUAAGCAGACAACAGAGCGUGAAGCAGUCAAUAAAAAAAGGGGAUUUGGGGAAACCGUGGAAUAGCCAGAAAGUACCUAUUGGCUAAGAGCUGGGCAGAGACCUAAACCGAAUCCAGACACCGUACCUCUUAAACCUGGGAGAAAAGUUGAAUCUGGAUCCAGAGCUUCUGCAUCGUGGCUCAGGUCCAUUGCUGACUGCUGCAGAGGAUUUAUCUGGCGAAUACGCCAGCCUGACUUUGCAGAUUCCCCAUGGGCAAAUGGCCCCUUGACGUCCGCGGGAGCCUGGCCUGCGUCAGGGCUGCAGAGAAGCCGGUGCUCGCUGAAGCCCACCCAUCGAUCUGCUGGCAGAGUUAUCGCAGGAUCCAGCCAACGCUCACCACAGCUGCACUGCCGGGUCUUUGGGCUUGUGUCAGGUUGUCAGACUACGAGGUGCAGUUAGGAAGGAGCUGGCAGGUCUCUUGGCCCUUGUUUUAGACACUGUUGGUCUCCAGAGCUCUUCUGCUUGCAGUUGUGGGUGCUUUUUGCUCUUCUAGAAUAGGCAGGGUGAGGCUGGAAAAGCCCAGUGGUUUGCUGCUUGCACUGCUGUUGAUGGAUGCAGUUCCAUGACUUUACUAAGGUAGCUUCAUCUCCUGCGAGUGAAGCGGGGCUUAAGCCUGGUAUAACACCCUGACUUCACUUUGGGCAUGGGCAUUUCAUUCUCAGCUGUGUUGGAAGUGCUAAAGACUUCCCAAUAAUACCUUUUCUUCAUUUUAAAACUUUGACUGUUAUAUCCAGCAUGCAGUUUGACACUGGAAAUUUUUAUGUGGGGUGUUAGUGGGUUUUCAAGCAUGAACAAAUUGAUUCAUGAGUAGAUUAAUCUGAUGCAUCUUUUAAAUGGAAAACUGACAUAAUUUUCCAUCAGAGACCUGCUAAUAAAGCACAUUUACUUAGUUAAUCUAUUUUUUUCUGUACUAAGUGCACUACGUAAGGUAUAAAAAUAUCGAAUCAAUAGCCAAAGAGUAUAUAAAAAUGAGACUGAGUGAUCAGAAACCAUGUGUGAGCCACCCUCUCCCUGGCUUCUUGGAGGACUCCGAUUUUUGUUUCUGCUGCUGAAAGACCCAUUCCCAAAGUCGCCCCAGGAUGGCGAGGCUGCAAAACCCCAGGUGUCCUUGCAAGUCCCAGAGGGGAGCGGGUACAACGAGCCACCUGCUUCCAGGGGUCUCGUGGCCUCAGCUCUCCUGCAGCCCUCCCUAUUUUUAGAAGUAGCUAGUUUGGAGGUAUUGGGGUUUUCUUUAUUAUUAGGGUAUUAUUAUUAUUAUUAGUAGUAAUAAUAUUAAUAAUAAUAAUUGCAGAAGGAACUAGGUAGCAGGAAUGUAUGUAAAAGACAAAGGCAUCUUCCAGUACAUUUGUGCAAGGAGCCCAUCCCAGCCUGCCAGGGAAUCUGUAAAACUCCCCUUCUUCAUUCCUCAGUUGGAGUACAGCAGUGUUAUUUCAAAGAAGAUGCCUGCACAGCCUUCUCUCUGCAAACACUGCAACCAUCAUUAUAUCAGUGCAACUCUCUCGUGUGAGCUAAUUUAACAAGCGGUUGCUUUGCAGGCUGUGGAGAAUUGCCUCUUACCUAAUAAUUCUGCUAAUUUGCUUAACUUUCCCAGAUUGCAAACAGCCCUACUCUGAACAAGCAGCUUUCUAAAUGAACCCCUAGACAAUUUCUUGACAAGGGGGGAAAGGAAAGGUGGACGGCUUGGGAGGUUGAAGCUCGUAGUCUUUUAUUUUUGACCUUUGGGCCAGCAUUCAGAUUUGCUUGUUGGGAAAACUACAUUCAGGAUAUAUUUUCUUCAGGGACUUACGUUACCCUUUUGCUUGUAAUUAUUCUCACUUGAUGUCUUCCAUAAAUUAAAGAUGCUUCUAUUAGUGAGUUCCAGUCCUCUCAAUUAUCUUGCUAAAGUCUCCUUAUUUGUGGCUGUGAGCUACACCACCAGGACUGCCGUCCUUGCAAAGCUCCUGGUCGGUGGCUACGGGCAGAGAAGUAAGGAAUUACAUGGGUAAUACAAAUGUCUGAGCAAUCCCAGAAAGAAAUGAAAACUGCAGUAAAGGUAAAUGUCAGACUAUUUAAAGACAAUGUUAACUAUUGAUUUUUUAGAGGAGACUAUCUCUUCAAAGGAUGGCAAGCAUGCCUUCAGAUACAGACACAGCAACCUGGAUGGAUGGGGUAGAGAGGGAGGCGAGUGAACUGGGAAGACAGAGAUUUUCCCGGAGAGCAAAAUGAACCCUUUACGAAGCCUUUGGGAUUAAAAAGAUGGCUUAGUUCUUUCACAGAGUCCACCCUUCAACCCAUUUAAGCACCACACCUUUUCCAAGAAAUGAAGGGCAAAGAAGCACUGAUGAGCAAUAAAGAGAUAAGCAGCAAAGUACUCGUUUCCCCGGUGUUUUCCAAUGAAAAAUGAACCCUCGAGCACGCCCCGUGAUCUAAGUGGCAAAGCUCACCCAAGUUCCUGAUUUUGCUUCCAGCAGAGAUGCUCAUUGCUCAUGCUCACACCCUGGAGCAACUCGGACUCCUUAGUGGCGCUCACUCUUCCCACCCACACCUGCCUGCACGUGGGGUGGGACCACCGCCGCUGCUGCGGGGACCUGCACUCGCUGCUGGUACGGAGAUCUGGGCAGCUGGCACAAAACGGGGAGCAAAACCAUCUUUCUCCCUGUACAUACAGCUAGGAACUUGUGGGAAAUCAUAAUCAACUUGGCAAUUUUUUAUUAUCCUUUAGUACAACAGGAUAGGCUAUGAUUUCAGAUGGUUUAAGAGAAAACCAAGCUUAGAAUUAAAAGCCUUGUUUUUUAAGAAAUACAUGUUUGUAUAUAUAUAUUACAAAAAAUAUGCAUAUAUAUGUACAUAUACAUUUUUAUAUAAAUAUUUAUAUAUAUAUAUAUACACACACUUGCCUUAUGGCCCAUGCUGUGACAUCCCUGCCAAAGCACCCAGGAGCAGAUAUUCCUGGCCUUGGAUGCAUGCAUCUGCAGGGAAUCGUUCCUUUCAAGCUGCAGCGCAGAGACGAUGCUAUACAUGGUGCUUUGGGAAAACGGCAUGAUAAGAAUUUAGUUAGGGGAUUUAAAGGUCUUCCAGACCUGCAUUUUCAAAAAGGGAAACUUCUUAUCUCGAUGGGUGUUUUGGAACAGGAGGAACGAAGGACCUAAUCCAGUGAAGUGUAAUGUCAGCGAGGGCAAAUUCAUUUUGCAUUUGGAUACAUUGCCUUUUUUAGAGGCUAAUUUGGGUCUUAAAAGAAAAAUUAUUAAACACAUCCACACAGCAAAGGAAAUGGGUGAUGUGGGGGUUCACUACUGACUGUGGCAGGUUUUGAAGUGGGUACACGAGAGGAACAGACCCUCCCGGCGCCUGUGUUUCCCCUCUACAAGUCUUUUGGGUGCUCCAGUUUGAAGAUCCCCAUAGGGCUUACAACCCUGGCUCGCCUGCUUUGGCAGCCAGCUCAAGCUGCAGAAAACCCCAGUUCCUGUUAGAUCCUAACCGCAGCGCAAUACGGUAUUACUGCCUGGGGUAACUUUUGGUUUAGAUGUAUUAUUUCAAUAAGGAGGUCUUCAGACAGUGUUAAAUGACAGACAAUAUAAUUUUUGAAUGUGAUGUUCAUCUGAAUUUUAUUUUCUGAUGUUUUGACUCAUUGACUUGAUGUCUCUCUAUUAUGCACACACCUCUGGAGAUGUUGCUGGCAAUGAUUAUGCGUAGCAUUGAGUUAGUGAAUAAAACCACUCCAGGAACUGCUUUACAGAUCACAGUAUCGUUUUCUCUAUAAUUGUCCCACAAACGGUGGAAGUUAUAUGGAGAGAGCAGUGUGCUCUGACAGACUGCAUAUUUUUGCAGUGUGCACCAGAUCUCACUUUGGCUUCUGAGACUUAUUUCUGAUGGUUCUUGGGGAUUUAACUUUAAGACCAAUGUAUUUUAGUAUCCAUAUACGCUCCACUGUUCAUGUCAUCCGGCAGCAACUGAGGAUGAGCUGUCUCCUUAAUAUGGAUGAGACACCAAUUUAUCUAAGUUAUCACCUCCCAAUCUCUCAUUCAUCUCUGCUGUUAACUGCUGCGUUUCUGACAUCCGUACCUAAACUAUCAGCAACUUCUUCUUCUUCUUCAAUUGAAACCAUAAGCAAUUUUUGGCUGGAAGUUCUUGUUAUGUAUGUAAUGGCUUCUGCUUCUCCCGGCUGGAAUUCAACCAUCAGGUGACUGAAUCAGGCUCCGGAUGCCGCAUUUUAAACCCACAACAUUGCAUAGAUCCAUGCAGCACACUAAAUCAAAAGUCAGGGUGUCUUUCCACCAUCUGAAAAUAUAUGACCAAAUUAACAUGUCCCAGGCUUACUUUGAAAAGCACUGCAGCCCCGGUUGCGUACGCCCAGGCGUUUGACUGCAAAGUCAGCAAUACUCUCCCCCUUCCUGAUGCAUCCCCAAACCAGUGAAACUUAGCCCCUACUCCUGGUAUUCUCUUUAUAGAAGGUCCCAGUGGUAUUAUGUAUCAAAUAAAGGUCUCAUUGCUUAGUUUCUGGUUCCUUCGUGCCGUUGCUCUCAUUAAUCAUCCUGUUCCUCAAGUCCGUGCUACAAGCCGUUAGGACUGUCUCGUUCCUCACCCCUCGGGCAGCGAUUCCCUCCCCUGCAGUUCCCCUGCCCCUUCGUGCUCCACGUGCCGCAGGAGUGCUGACCCGCUGGGCACCACUGCUGCUGGUCGGGCCAGUGCUGGAUGGCUGGGGACCUCUUGGCUGCGAGCUCUGGACUUCAGUCUUAAUGCAAAGAGAUGGUCUCCCCUUCCUGCCCAGCCUCGUCUCAGGGCACCUGGGGUUGCUCCCUCUGCCAAAUACCCCAAUGCUGUCAGCUUUGUGCCUUCUAGCUUCUCUAGACGCAGCCCCAGCCCCAGGCAAAAAGUAAAACUCUCUGUUUGUGCCCCAAAUCUCUUAAUUUCAUCCCCAUUUUCCCUCCAAAAAUUGUUAUGAACAACUGAAGACAUGGAAUCUGC